GGCAGAAGGCAUUCGAUAUGAAAUGAAUGGCCACAUCCGCGGAAAACGUUCCAGAGAGGGUUAACUCUUUCGCAGCUGAUCAAAUCGCACUUUCUAUGACAGGGAAUAUAUAAAGUGUCAAUUCGCUUUCUGCUGUAAUUUGGCUUUCUGGGUGGAACAAAUGCAGAUUGGAAGAAAUGGAGUUCAUGCUUGCAAGCAUCAAUUUCUUUAGCUUUGCGUGAAAUUUCAUCAGCUGUAUCAGUUUCUUUGGUUUGUUUUCUCAAGACUGAGUGAAAGUUUUCCACUGGAUACUCAUCGAAUGCAGAACAUCGAGAGAAUAAGAUCCCUGAUCAAUGUCCAUCCGCCAUAAAUGAUUUCAAGCAAUAGAGAUGUACGCCAUGGUUUUGGUUUCUUAGCCAGCUUUGCUUUUUUCCCAAAGAUGAAAGCAUAAAGGAUGUGCAACAAUUCCAAGAUUCCGUAGAGAUUCAAGCCCUUGUUUGCUGAUUCCAAACUGCUGCAGUGUCCUGGAUAGUGUGACUUGAAAUGAGUUGCAUUUUUGUGAUUACAUUGGAUCCAAUGUUAUGGCUUCUUGUAUGGAUGAAUAUAAUUUAUCAGCACCAACAUCUUUGCACAUAAUCUCAAACACAUCAGGAUCCAUUUCAGGCUCUGCCAAUUUUGUUAUGACAGAUUCUUGCCUGUUCAUCUCGUUUUUAGCAGAAGAUUCCAAUACCACAAGCUAAAUUACAAGUGUGCUUAAUUGACUUUUUUUUCUCUGAGGGCCAUACUAAUGGCCAUAAGGUCAUACCUGGCUUUUCACGUUGUUUUUCAACUCGUCGGCUUGUUGUUUAGGAAGCAAUCGCGUAAAUUUCCUUUUCGUGAAGCAUUUGUGCAGGCAUGUUGCACAUAGAUUCUGGAUUCCAUAAGACGAUUUUUCGCCAAGUUCUUCCUUAACAUAUUGCUCAAAAACUACUGAAAUUACAAGCAGGCCACGAUUUCUUAGAUUUAAAACCUUUUCUCCUUCACGCCCCGACCAUUUUUUAUGAAACGGAUUGUUGCAUUGCUUUUUAAAUUUUGGCAUUUUGACAGACUUUAUUCACUUUAACAAUUUGUAGUAUCCUUUUUGCAUACGCUGAGAAAAAAGAAACAUUUUCGGAAAAAGCGCGCGAUUUUCCCCGCUGUAUACGAUAUAAUAUUCAUAAUAUUUUAAAAAGUAAGCAAAGCAAUAUUUGUUAGUUAUAAUGUAAAUAUACACUCUUUGUCAUAUAUUAUUUAGUUAACGUCUUGGUAACCAUUAUUUUUUAGAGAAAUCAGUUUGUAAACAAUGCAAUUUCUGUAGAGUCUAGAGACAGGACUGGUGAUCUACACUGGUCAUGCCGUGACAAUUCAAACAUAAAUAAUUUUCGCUCCAGGACGAUUCUGGAAAAAUCCGACGACAAAAUUGUAGAAAAGGAAUUGCUUUAUCAGAUUCUAGUGUUUUAAGAUUGAAAAACUAAAUAUUGACUGCUGCAGAAGGCUUAGAACAGGGUGUUAUGAUUUCACUCCUUCUGUUUACAUUUUGCAAAUUCCACGUAAUCUGAUUGGUCUAGAGACCAAAAUGUCAACAAACGCCCUGAUUGGUCAACAUUUUUCCC
RNAcentral lists this long non-coding RNA (1610 nucleotides) under Dendronephthya gigantea. RNAcentral's name for it is "uncharacterized LOC114518290, transcript variant X1". The record is from RNAcentral. Lineage: Eukaryota; Metazoa; Cnidaria; Anthozoa; Malacalcyonacea; Nephtheidae.